This 1349-nucleotide ribosomal RNA is filed under the name metagenome. RNAcentral's name for it is "bacterial LSU rRNA". It matches the Rfam family "Bacterial large subunit ribosomal RNA", at positions 1564 to 2925 of the family's 2925-position model. The record is from RNAcentral.
UGAGUGCGAGCUGCUACGGCAGCGAAGUUGGUGAUGUCAUGCUUCCAAGAAAAGCCCUAUACCCGUUAAGGCAUCAUGGCCUGUACCCGAAACCGACACAGGUGGGGUGGUAGAGGAUACCGAGGGGCGCGAGGUAACUCUCUCUAAGGAACUCGGCAAAAUGGCCCCGUAACUUCGGGAGAAGGGGUGCCACCGCAAGGUGGUCGCAGUGAAGAGGCCCAGGCGACUGUUUACCAAAAACACAGGUCUCCGCUAAGUCGCAAGACGAUGUAUGGGGGCUGACGCCUGCCCAGUGCCGGAAGGUUAAGGAAGCUGGUCAGCGCAAGCGAAGCUAGCGACUGAAGCCCCGGUGAACGGCGGCCGUAACAGUAACGGUCCUAAGGUAGCGAAAUUCCUUGUCGGGUAAGUUCCGACCCGCACGAAAGGCGUAACGAUCUGGGCGCUGUCUCGGAGAGAGGCUCGGCGAAAUAGAAUUGUCUGUGAAGAUGCGGACUACGUGCACCCGGACAGAAAGACCCUAUGAAGCUUUACUGUAGCUUGGUAUUGUGCCCGGGCUCGCAAUGCGCAGGAUAGGUGGGAGGCUUUGAUCAUCGGCUUGCGGGUCGAUGUGAGCCAACGGUGAGAUACCACUCUUUGCGAGCUAGGGUUCUAACGGCCACCCGUCAUCCGGGGGCCGGACAGUACCUGGUGGGCAGUUUGACUGGGGCGGUCGCCUCCUAAAAGGUAACGGAGGCGCGCAAAGGUUUGCUCAGGCUGGUUGGAAAUCAGCCGACGAGUGUAAAGGCAGAAGCAAGCUUGACUGUGAGACCAACAAGUCGAACAGGGAGGAAACUCGGCUUUAGUGAUCCGACGGUUCUGAGUGGAAGGGCCGUCGCUCAACGGAUAAAAGUUACUCUAGGGAUAACAGGCUGAUCUCCCCCAAGAGUUCACAUCGACGGGGAGGUUUGGCACCUCAUGUCGGCUCAUCGCAACCAGGGGCUGAAGUCGGUCCCAAGGGUUGGGCUGUUCGCCCAUUAAAGCGGUACGCGAGCUGGGUUCAGAACGUCGUGAGACAGUUCGGUCCAUAUCCGGUGCACGCGCAGGAAUAUUGAGAGGAUUUCUCCCUAGUACGAGAGGACCGGGAGGAACGCACCUCUGGUGUACCAGUUAUCGUGCCAACGGUAAACGCUGGGUAGCCAUGUGCGGAGUGGAUAACCGCUGAAAGCAUCUAAGUGGGAAGCCCACCUCAAGAUGAGUAUUCCCAUGGCGUAAGCCAGUAAGGUCACGGGAAGAACACCCGUUGAUAGGCUCUAUGUGGAAGCGCAGUAAUGCGUGAAGCAGAGGAGUACUAAUAGACCGAGGGCUUGACC